Molecule: ribosomal RNA, 574 nt
Filed under: uncultured Strombidium
Lineage: Eukaryota; Ciliophora; Spirotrichea; Strombidiidae
Description: partial large subunit ribosomal RNA
Rfam family: Eukaryotic large subunit ribosomal RNA
Source: RNAcentral
UCUCCGUGCAGAGCACGGCGAAUUGUAAUCUGUAGAGGUCAUGCUCAAAAGAGAGUGGCGCAGAAGUGCCCUGGAACGGGCCGCCAAAGAGGGUGACAGCCCCGUACGUGGCGCCGCGAUCUAACGAGCAGGCUUUCAAAGAGUCGGGUUGUUUUGUAUUGCAGCCCUAAGUGGGAGAUAAACUUCUUCUAAGGCUAAAUAUAUGUGGGAAACCGAUAGCGAACAAGUACUGUGAAGGAAAGAUGAAAAGCACUUUGGAAAGAGAGUCAAAAGACCUGAAACCGUUGAGGAGGAAGCGGUAGAGAUGAAUUCUACGUCAAGGCGCUGGGAAGCCGGCCAAACAAUGGCGGGCAGGUCGUACGUCAAAGGCGGCAGCUCGUCCAAAGGGAAGCCGGUGGCUCGCGCGGUGGCGUGAGGCCGGAUGGGGUACCGUGACUACAGAGGCCUCCUAGGCCUAGGGUGAUUCGUCGCUCAGCCUGGGAGUGCCGGUAGACGCGGGGCCUGAGGAAGCUUAGUGCGAUCCGGUCAAAAUGGUCUUUACCGACUCGUCUUGAAACACGAACCAAGGAGUCUA